UACGUAGGGGGCAAGCGUUGUCCGGAAUUAUUGGGCGUAAAGCGCGCGCAGGCGGUCUCUUAAGUCUGAUGUGAAAGCCCACGGCUCAACCGUGGAGGGUCAUUGGAAACUGGGGGACUUGAGUGUAGGAGAGGAAAGUGGAAUUCCACGUGUAGCGGUGAAAUGCGUAGAUAUGUGGAGGAACACCAGUGGCGAAGGCGACUUUCUGGCCUAUAACUGACGCUGAGGCGCGAAAGCGUGGGGAGCAAACAGG
This 253-nucleotide ribosomal RNA is filed under the name uncultured bacterium. Its description in RNAcentral is "partial 16S ribosomal RNA". It matches the Rfam family "Bacterial small subunit ribosomal RNA", at positions 524 to 776 of the family's 1533-position model. The record is from RNAcentral.